Molecule: ribosomal RNA, 253 nt
Filed under: uncultured bacterium
Lineage: Bacteria
Description: partial 16S ribosomal RNA
Rfam family: Bacterial small subunit ribosomal RNA
Source: RNAcentral
UACGGAGGGUGCGAGCGUUAUCCGGAAUUACUGGGUUUAAAGGGUGCGUAGGCGGCCCUGUAAGUCAGGAGUGAAAGUUUGCGGCUCAACCGUAAAAUUGCUUUUGAUACUGCGGGGCUAGAAUUAGGAUGAGGUCAGCGGAAUGUGGCAUGUAGCGGUGAGAUGCAUAGAUAUGCCAUAGAACACCAAUUGCGAAGGCAGCUGGCUAGACCUGGAUUGACGCUGAGGCACGAAAGCGUGGGGAGCGAACAGG